UUGACCGGUACUUAAUGGUACCUUCUCUUCGGAGCAGAGGUGACAGGUGGUGCAUGGUUGUCGUCAGCUCGUGUCGUGAGAUGUUGGGUUAAGUCCCGCAACGAGCGCAACCCUUAUCUUUAGUAGCCAGCAGUUCGGCUGGGCACUCUAGAGAGACUGCCGGGGAUAACCCGGAGGAAGGUGGGGAUGACGUCAAAUCAUCAUGCCCCUUAUGAUUUGGGCUACACACGUGCUACAAUGGCGUAAACAAAGAGAAGCAGCCCUGUGAAGGUGAGCAAAUCUCAAAAAUAACGUCUCAGUUCGGAUUGUAGUCUGCAACUCGACUACAUGAAGCUGGAAUCGCUAGUAAUCGCGAAUCAGAAUGUCGCGGUGAAUACGUUCCCGGGUCUUGUACACACCGCCCGUCACACCAUGGGAGUCGGAAAUGCCCGAAGCCGGUGCCUCAACCGUAAGGAGAGAGCCGUCGAAGGCAGGUUCGAUAACUGGGGUGAAGUCGUAACAAGGUAACCAAGGGC
This 515-nucleotide ribosomal RNA is filed under the name uncultured Bacillota bacterium. Its description in RNAcentral is "bacterial SSU rRNA". It matches the Rfam family "Bacterial small subunit ribosomal RNA", at positions 991 to 1507 of the family's 1533-position model. Lineage: Bacteria; Bacillati; Bacillota. The record is from RNAcentral.